GACGAACGCUGGCGGCGUGCUUAACACAUGCAAGUCGAACGGAAAGGCCCUGCUUUUGUGGGGUGCUCGAGUGGCGAACGGGUGAGUAACACGUGAGUAACCUGCCCUUGACUUUGGGAUAACUUCAGGAAACUGGGGCUAAUACCGGAUAGGAGCUCCUGCUGCAUGGUGGGGGGUGGAAAGUUUCGGCGGGUGGGGAUGGACUCGCGGCUUAUCAGCUUGUUGGUUGGGUAGUGGCUUACCAACGCAUUGACGGGUAGCCGGCCUGGGAGGGUGACCGGCGACAAUGGGCCUGAGAGACGGCCCAGUCUGCUACGUGCGGCAAUGGUGGGGAAUCUUACACAGUGGGCCCGCGCCUGAUGCAGAGGCGCUGCGUGCGGGAUGACGUCUUUCUGGUUAAAAACCGCUUCCGCCUUAGACGAAGCUUGAGUGACGGUAACGAGUAAAGAAGCACCGGCUAACUACGUG
This 468-nucleotide ribosomal RNA is filed under the name uncultured bacterium. RNAcentral describes it as "partial 16S ribosomal RNA". It matches the Rfam family "Bacterial small subunit ribosomal RNA", at positions 28 to 507 of the family's 1533-position model. The record is from RNAcentral.